UACGUAGGGUGCGAGCGUUAAUCGGAAUUACUGGGCGUAAAGCGUGCGCAGGCGGUUUUGUAAGCCAGAUGUGAAAUCCCCGGGCUUAACCUGGGAAUGGCACUUGGGACUGCAAGGCUGGAGUGCGGCAGAGGAGACUGGAAUUCCUGGUGUAGCAGUGAAAUGCGUAGAUAUCAGGAGGAAUACCGAUGGCGAAGGCAGGUCUCUGGGCUGACACUGACGCUCAUGCACGAAAGCGUGGGGAGCAAACAGG
RNAcentral lists this ribosomal RNA (253 nucleotides) under uncultured bacterium. Its description in RNAcentral is "partial 16S ribosomal RNA". It matches the Rfam family "Bacterial small subunit ribosomal RNA", at positions 524 to 776 of the family's 1533-position model. The record is from RNAcentral.